UACGAAGGGUGCAAGCGUUAAUCGGAAUUACUGGGCGUAAAGCGCGCGUAGGUGGUUCGUUAAGUUAGGAGUGAAAGCCCCGGGCUCAACCUGGGAAUUGCUUCUAAAACUGGCGAGCUAGAGUAUGGUAGAGGGUGGUGGAAUUUCCUGUGUAGCGGUGAAAUGCGUAGAUAUAGGAAGGAGCAUCAGUGGCGAAGGCGACCACCUGGACUGAUACUGACACUGAGGUGCGAAAGCGUGGGGAGCAAACAGGAUUAGAUACCCGUGUAGU
Molecule: ribosomal RNA, 271 nt
Filed under: uncultured prokaryote
Description: partial 16S ribosomal RNA
Rfam family: Bacterial small subunit ribosomal RNA
Source: RNAcentral